Molecule: ribosomal RNA, 378 nt
Filed under: Xanthias latifrons
Lineage: Eukaryota; Metazoa; Arthropoda; Malacostraca; Decapoda; Xanthidae
Description: partial 12S ribosomal RNA
Source: RNAcentral
UUAGAUACCCCAUUAUACUAGUAAAAACCUCAACUAUUAAUAGAUAUAUUCUUUAAACUUGAAGAAUUUGGCGGUGAUUUAAUCUUGUUAGAGGAACCUGUUUUUGAAUCGAUACACCACGCAGAAUCUUGCUCAUUUUAUUAGUUUAUAUACCAUCAUUAUCGGAUGAUUUUUAAAGAAAUAAUUAUUGUAACUUACAAAAGUAAACAAAAUUAGAUCAAGGUGUAGCUUAUAAAUGAGAUAAAAUGGGUUACAAUAAAAUGUACUUAUUACGGAUUGGCAGAAGAAAUCUGCUAUAAAGGAGGAUUUGAUUGUAAUAUAAGUUUAAUAAGCUUAAUAGAAAUAAGCUCUAGAUCAUGUACAUAUCGCCCGUCGCUA